RNAcentral lists this transfer RNA (73 nucleotides) under Actinomycetota bacterium. Its description in RNAcentral is "tRNA-Glu". It matches the Rfam family "tRNA". Rfam says of the family: Transfer RNA (tRNA) molecules are approximately 80 nucleotides in length. Their secondary structure includes four short double-helical elements and three loops (D, anti-codon, and T loops). Lineage: Bacteria; Bacillati; Actinomycetota. The record is from RNAcentral. RNAcentral also lists the same sequence under 1 other name.
GCCCUGGUAGUCUAGAGGUCAAGGACGUCGGCCUUUCGAGCCGGAGACCCGGGUUCAAAUCCCGGCCGGGGCA